RNAcentral lists this ribosomal RNA (116 nucleotides) under Pteropus alecto (black flying fox). Lineage: Eukaryota; Metazoa; Chordata; Mammalia; Chiroptera; Pteropodidae. The record is from RNAcentral.
GUCUACGGCCAUGCCGCCCUGAACAAUUCCAAUGUCUGAUCUUGGAAGCUAAGCAGGGUCAGGCCUGGUUAGUACUUGGAUGGGAGACCACCUAGGAAGACCAGGUGCUGUAGGCA